GUAGUUGACUCCUGGCUACAGACGACGCUGGCGGCAGGCUUAACACAUACAAGUCGAACGCCCGCAAGGGGAGUGGCAGACGGGUGAGUAACGCGUGGGAAUCUACCGUGCCCUGCGGAAUAGCUCCGGGAAACUGGAAUUAAUACCGCAUACGCCUACGGGGAAAGAUUUAUCGGGGUAUGAUGAGCCCGCGUUGGAUUAGCUAGUUGGUGGGGUAAAGGCCUACCAAGGCGACGAUCCAUAGCUGGUCUGAGAGGAUGAUCAGCCACAUUAGGACUGAGACACGGCCCAAACUCCUACGGGAGGCAGCAGUGGGGAAUAUUGGACAAUGGGCGCAAGCCUGAUCCAGCCAUGCCGCGUGAGUGAUGAAGGCCUUAGGGUUGUAAAGCUCUUUCACCGGAGAAGAUAAUGACGGUAUCCGGAGAAGAAGCCCCGGCUAACUUCGUG
This 447-nucleotide ribosomal RNA is filed under the name uncultured Hyphomicrobiales bacterium. RNAcentral describes it as "bacterial SSU rRNA". It matches the Rfam family "Bacterial small subunit ribosomal RNA", at positions 9 to 507 of the family's 1533-position model. Lineage: Bacteria; Pseudomonadati; Pseudomonadota; Alphaproteobacteria; Hyphomicrobiales. The record is from RNAcentral.